Molecule: non-coding RNA, 306 nt
Organism: Cinara cedri
Lineage: Eukaryota; Metazoa; Arthropoda; Insecta; Hemiptera; Aphididae
Source: the annotation of a GenBank genome assembly
UAUAGUGUUAGUUGUAUAAAACAAUGUGAACUGAUUACUGUAAUAAGAUGUGGUAUUUUUCAUUCCGCCUUCAUUACUUCACUGUUUACAAACAAAAUUCGUAAACAAAAUUUUUGUUUAUUUUUAGCGUUACCUUACUAAUUAUUUCUACUUGAACGAAAGAAUGGUACAAAACUACAAAUCUUUGAGUACAUAAUGAUAUUUUCAAAAACUAUUUAUUGCCCUAUCGUCGACUCAACUAAAUUGUGUAUUUUUUUUAGAAUUUAUUGUCUAGUAAUACAUUAUUAUCUUUUUCUUUUUGUAUUG